This 225-nucleotide ribosomal RNA is filed under the name uncultured Rhodoferax sp. Its description in RNAcentral is "partial 16S ribosomal RNA". It matches the Rfam family "Bacterial small subunit ribosomal RNA", at positions 1160 to 1382 of the family's 1533-position model. Lineage: Bacteria; Pseudomonadati; Pseudomonadota; Betaproteobacteria; Burkholderiales; Comamonadaceae. The record is from RNAcentral.
AAGCCGGAGGAAGGUGGGGAUGACGUCAAGUCCUCAUGGCCCUUAUAGGUGGGGCUACACACGUCAUACAAUGGCUGGUACAAAGGGUUGCCAACCCGCGAGGGGGAAGCCAAUACCCAUAAAGCCAGUCGUAGUCCGGAUCGUAGUCUGCAACUCGACUACGUGAAGUCGGAAUCGCUAGUAAUCGUGGAUCAGAAUGUCACGGUGAAUACGUUCCCGGGUCUU